AGUGAACGCUGGCGGUCGGCCUAACACAUGCAAGUCGAACGGCAGCACAGUAAGAGCUUGCUCUUACGGGUGGCGAGUGGCGGACGGGUGAGGAAUACAUCGGAAUCUACUUUUUCGUGGGGGAUAACGUAGGGAAACUUACGCUAAUACCGCAUACGACCUACGGGUGAAAGCAGGGGAUCUUCGGACCUUGCGCGAUUGAAUGAGCCGAUGUCGGAUUAGCUAGUUGGCGGGGUAAAGGCCCACCAAGGCGACGAUCCGUAGCUGGUCUGAGAGGAUGAUCAGCCACACUGGAACUGAGACACGGUCCAGACCCCUACGGGAGGCAGCAGUGGGGAAUAUUGGACAAUGGGCGCAAGCCUGAUCCAGCCAUACCGCGUGGGUGAAGAAGGCCUUCGGGUUGUAAAGCCCUUUUGUUGGGAAAGAAAAGCAGCAGGUUAAUACCCCGCUGUUCUGACGGUACCCAAAGAAUAAGCACCGGCUAACUUCGUG
RNAcentral lists this ribosomal RNA (492 nucleotides) under uncultured bacterium. RNAcentral describes it as "partial 16S ribosomal RNA". It matches the Rfam family "Bacterial small subunit ribosomal RNA", at positions 29 to 507 of the family's 1533-position model. The record is from RNAcentral.